Molecule: unclassified non-coding RNA, 194 nt
Filed under: uncultured Inocybe
Lineage: Eukaryota; Fungi; Basidiomycota; Agaricomycetes; Agaricales; Cortinariaceae
Description: sequence contains ITS2
Source: RNAcentral
GACCUUCUCAACCACAUCGUUCUUGUUGUGGCUUGGAUGUGGGGGAAUAAUUUUAUUUUGCAGGCUUCAACCAAAGAAGCCUGCUCCCCUGAAAUGCAUUAGUGGUGUCUGAGCUGCUAUUGGUGUGAUAAAUUAUCUAUGCCUUUGGUGAUGCUGGUCAGCGCUGCUUAUAACGGACAGUGAUCAAUUGACAA